Molecule: ribosomal RNA, 440 nt
Filed under: uncultured bacterium
Lineage: Bacteria
Description: bacterial SSU rRNA
Rfam family: Bacterial small subunit ribosomal RNA
Source: RNAcentral
CCUACGGGGGGCUGCAGUGGGGAAUAUUGCACAAUGGGGGAAACCCCUUAUGAGCAACGCCGCGGUAGCGGAGAAAGCCGUUGGGUCGGAAAGCUCUGUCCUUAGGGAAGAAUACUCACCGUACCUUAAGAGGAAGCCGCGGAUAACAUCGUGCCAGCAGCAGGGGGAAGACGGAGGGGGGUAGCGUUAUCCGGAAUUACUGGGCGUAAAGGGUGCGUAGGCGGCCCUGCAAGUCAGAGGUGAAAGGCUACGGCUCAACCGUAGUAAGCCUUUGGAACUGUAGGGCUUGAGUGCAGGAGAGGAGAGUGGAAUUCCCAGUGUAGCGGUGAAAUGCGUAGAUAUUGGGAGGAACACCAGUUGCGAAGGCGGCUCUCUGGACUGUAACUGACGCUGAGGCACGAAAGCGUGGGGAGCGAACAGGAUUAGAUACCCUAGUAGUC